GCGGGCCCGUGGGGUGUGGCCCCACCCCAGGUCGUCAGAGGCUGCUGCCACAAGAACUUGGCCUCAGCUUCCAUCCCACACUUGGUCCGGCGGCUUGAAAGACAUGGACAGACAACUGGUGUAAGCACGCCACGAAUUAUGUCUCCCGUGGCCAAGGCCUCAUACCUGCAAGGCCAGCGCAGUGCAGGCCACGUACAGUGACCUCUGAAGGACUCCAAAGUACCGGGAUGUCCACGCCUUCACUGUCUCAGUUGCCAUGAGGCUAUGUUGCACCACAAACAAUAGCAGAAGCCCAAGAUCCCAAGCCAGGGAGUUUUGGCCUUUCCCUGUCAUUUGUUUCCACGCCCCGCCCUCUCCACGCUGCGCUGGCUCCUCCUCUCCGCUGCGGCUCACCCGGACCACCGGACUCCGGGAUCCCUCCAAGCAGCGGCCGCAGGGAGGUGAAGCGCAC
Alexandromys fortis (reed vole) is the source of this 451-nucleotide long non-coding RNA. RefSeq lists it as uncharacterized. The record is from RefSeq and is a predicted model, not a curated record. The transcript has 3 exons. Lineage: Eukaryota; Metazoa; Chordata; Mammalia; Rodentia; Cricetidae.